AACGAACGCUGGCGGCAUGCCUAACACAUGCAAGUCGAACGAGACCUUCGGGUCUAGUGGCGCACGGGUGCGUAACGCGUGGGAACCUUCCCUUAGGUUCGGAAUAACUCCCCGAAAGGGGUGCUAAUACCGGAUAAUGUCUUCGGACCAAAGAUUUAUCGCCUUUGGAUGGGCCCGAGUUGGAUUAGCUAGUUGGUAGGGUAAAAGCAUACCAAGGCGACGAUCCAUAGCUGGUCUGAGAGGAUGAUCAGCCACACUGGGACUGAGACACGGCCCAGACUCCUACGGGAGGGAGCAGUGGGGAAUAUUGGAAAAUGGGCGAAAGGCUGAUCCAGCAAUGCCGCGUGAGUGAUGAAGGCCUUAGGGUUGUAAAGCUCUUUUACCCGGGAUGAUAAUGACAGUACCGGGAGAAUAAGCUCCGGCUAACUCCGUG
Molecule: ribosomal RNA, 433 nt
Filed under: uncultured bacterium
Lineage: Bacteria
Description: partial 16S ribosomal RNA
Rfam family: Bacterial small subunit ribosomal RNA
Source: RNAcentral